UACGUAGGGUGCAAGCGUUAAUCGGAAUUACUGGGCGUAAAGCGUGCGCAGGCGGUUUUGUAAGACUGUCGUGAAAUCCCCGGGCUUAACCUGGGAAUGGCGAUGGUGACUGCAAGGCUAGAGUUUGGCAGAGGGGGGUAGAAUUCCACGUGUAGCAGUGAAAUGCGUAGAUAUCGGGAGGAACACCGGUGGCGAAGGCGGCUCUCUGGACCGCAACUGACGCUGAGGCGCGAAAGCUAGGGGAGCAAACAGG
Molecule: ribosomal RNA, 253 nt
Filed under: uncultured prokaryote
Description: partial 16S ribosomal RNA
Rfam family: Bacterial small subunit ribosomal RNA
Source: RNAcentral